GGGGGAAUAUUGCACAAUGGGGGGAAACCCUGAUGCAGCAACGCCGCGUGAGUGAAGAAGUAUUUCGGUAUGUAAAGCUCUAUCAGCAGGGAAGAAAAUGACGGUACCUGACUAAGAAGCCCCGGCUAACUACGUGCCAGCAGCCGCGGUAAUACGUAGGGGGCAAGCGUUAUCCGGAUUUACUGGGUGUAAAGGGAGCGUAGACGGCGAGGCAAGUCUGAAGUGAAAGCCCGGGGCUCAACCCCGGGACUGCUUUGGAAACUGUCUUGCUGGAGUGCUGGAGAGGUAAGUGGAAUUCCUAGUGUAGCGGUGAAAUGCGUAGAUAUUAGGAGGAACACCAGUGGCGAAGGCGGCUUACUGGACAGUAACUGACGUUGAGGCUCGAAAGCGUGGGGAGCAAACAGGAUUAGAUACCCUGGUAGU
This 423-nucleotide ribosomal RNA is filed under the name uncultured Clostridium sp. Its description in RNAcentral is "bacterial SSU rRNA". It matches the Rfam family "Bacterial small subunit ribosomal RNA", at positions 355 to 794 of the family's 1533-position model. The record is from RNAcentral. Lineage: Bacteria; Bacillati; Bacillota; Clostridia; Eubacteriales; Clostridiaceae.